CCCUUAGAUGUUCUGGGCCGCACGCGCGCUACACUGACGAAUGCAACGAGCUUAUAGCCUUGGCCGAAAGGUCUGGGUAAUCUCCAAAUUUCGUCGUGAUGGGGAUAGAUUAUUGCAAUUAUUAAUCUUCAACGAGGAAUGCCUAGUAAGCGCAAGUCAUCAGCUCGCGUUGAAUGCGUCCCUGCCCUUUGUACACACCGCCCGUCGCUCCUACCGAUGGAUCGCCCGGUGAAGCUCACGGAGUGACUGUUCACGCAACGGUUUACGAAGUGAAAUGGACCUCACGAUUUAGAGGAAGGAGAAGUCGUAACA
Molecule: ribosomal RNA, 312 nt
Filed under: uncultured eukaryote
Lineage: Eukaryota
Description: partial 18S ribosomal RNA
Rfam family: Eukaryotic small subunit ribosomal RNA
Source: RNAcentral